Molecule: ribosomal RNA, 441 nt
Filed under: Granulicatella adiacens
Lineage: Bacteria; Bacillati; Bacillota; Bacilli; Lactobacillales; Carnobacteriaceae
Description: bacterial SSU rRNA
Rfam family: Bacterial small subunit ribosomal RNA
Source: RNAcentral
GACGAACGCUGGCGGCGUGCCUAAUACAUGCAAGUCGAACGAGAGCGACCGGUGCUUGCACUGGUCAAUCUAGUGGCGAACGGGUGAGUAACACGUGGGUAACCUGCCCAUCAGAGGGGGAUAACAUCCGGAAACGGAUGCUAAAACCGCAUAGGUCCUUUAACCGCAUGGUUGAAGGAGGAAAAGAGGCGCAAGCUUCUGCUGAUGGAUGGACCCGCGGUGCAUUAGCUAGUUGGUGAGGUAACGGCUCACCAAGGCCGUGAUGCAUAGCCGACCUGAGAGGGUGAUCGGCCACAUUGGGACUGAGACACGGCCCAAACUCCUACGGGAGGCAGCAGUAGGGAAUCUUCCGCAAUGGACGCAAAGUCUGACGGGAGCAAACGCCCGCGUGAGUGAAAGAAAGGUUUUUCGGGAUUCGUAAAAACUUCUGGUGUUAGAGAA